This 332-nucleotide unclassified non-coding RNA is filed under the name soil metagenome. RNAcentral describes it as "partial contains 5.8S ribosomal RNA, internal transcribed spacer 2, and large subunit ribosomal RNA". The stretch from base 1 to 120 matches the Rfam family "5.8S ribosomal RNA", at positions 35 to 154 of the family's 154-position model. The record is from RNAcentral.
GAUGAAGAACGUAGCGAAAUGCGAUAAGUAGUGUGAAUUGCAGAAUUCAGUGAAUCAUCGAAUCUUUGAACGCACAUUGCGCCCUUUGGUAUUCCUUAGGGCAUGCCUGUUCGAGCGUCAUUUAAACCUUCAAGCUAAGCUUGGUGUUGGGUGACUGUCCGCUUCACGGCGGACUCGCCUCAAAAUUAUUGGCGGCCGGUACAUUGGCUUCGAGCGCAGCAGAAACGCGAACUCGGGCCCGUCGUAUUGGCUCCCAGAAGCUAUCUUCACAAUUUUGACUUCGGAUCAGGUAGGGAUACCCGCUGAACUUAAGCAUAUCAAUAAGCGGAGGA